AGAGAUUCCUCACUUCUCACUCGUAGACUUACUAUUAAUAAUUCAACAAAAACAACCGCAUCAGUUGAGCUCAAUACCAUCCAUCAUGUCUUAUUAUCCAUUCCAGUUAUAUGUUUUUAGCUUCAUGCAGUUUAUAUUUUUCACUGGGUUUCCUUUUAUAUUAUUUUUAUUCCAAUUUUCUUCAUAUGUAGCAUAGACAAAACAUGUUUCUCAAUAAAGCUAAAUUUUUAGACAUGCACUCAUUAAACAUAGCUAGAAUUUCAACUAAUUUACAUCUUAGUUGGAAAAAUAUCUAAACAGAACAAUGUUGGUUACGAAUUGGAUCUUAAAGGAAACUACAAAAUAAUAAUCAUUUCAAAAUACAAUCUGGGAUUACCCGUGUAAAUCGGGGGAAAAAAUCAAAAAA
Molecule: long non-coding RNA, 406 nt
Filed under: Olea europaea (common olive)
Lineage: Eukaryota; Viridiplantae; Streptophyta; Magnoliopsida; Lamiales; Oleaceae
Description: long non-coding RNA (OEUR_LNC012867)
Source: RNAcentral